Molecule: transfer RNA, 73 nt
Filed under: Stegodyphus mimosarum
Lineage: Eukaryota; Metazoa; Arthropoda; Arachnida; Araneae; Eresidae
Rfam family: tRNA
About the family: Transfer RNA (tRNA) molecules are approximately 80 nucleotides in length.
Source: Rfam by way of RNAcentral
GCCUUCGUGGUGUAGUGGUCAGCACACUCAGCGCGUAUUCCAGAAUUCCUAGGUUCGAGUCCCGGCCAGGGCA